Long non-coding RNA from Onychostoma macrolepis, 512 nucleotides. RefSeq lists it as uncharacterized. Lineage: Eukaryota; Metazoa; Chordata; Actinopteri; Cypriniformes; Cyprinidae. The record is from RefSeq and is a predicted model, not a curated record. The transcript is spliced from 4 exons.
CGACAACGUCGGAGGUGUAUUUUGGCGCCUCUUCUAGUGACUGGCAUAGUUUCGAUGAUAACAUCAACUGUUUGUGAUCUUGUGGUCAUGUCGUCUGCAUCGGAGGAGUAUUGGAGUCUUUUCCUGUGAUUGACGUCGUAACAACAGGAGAUUUCUCCAAGCAAAAACAGGAUCCUGAAUAUGAGGCAGAAUCAUCGUACAGCCAGCUGUCCGUUUUACAGAAAUGCAGAAUUAGGUUCAUUCAGAUCUUUGUGGCACCAAAUGCAUUGAAAGUAACAGGUCAGCUGGCAUUCUGGAAAGAGGGUGCAAAGAAAAAGGAUCUGCCUGAAUCCCAUCCUGCUGUUUCUCAUCGGAGAGCUUGUCAACUUUGACUGUCAAAAUUACUGAAAUUUAACACAACACAAACUCAUUUUUACUGUUACUAUUAUUUGAUUUUUAUUAACACUACCAGUCAAAAGUUUUUGAACGGUAAGAUUUUUAAUGUUUUUAAAGUAGUCUCUUCUGCUCACCAA